RNAcentral lists this ribosomal RNA (491 nucleotides) under uncultured bacterium. RNAcentral describes it as "partial 16S ribosomal RNA". It matches the Rfam family "Bacterial small subunit ribosomal RNA", at positions 29 to 506 of the family's 1533-position model. The record is from RNAcentral.
AGUGAACGCUGGCGGUAGGCCUAACACAUGCAAGUCGAACGGCAGCACAGUAAGAGCUUGCUCUUACGGGUGGCGAGUGGCGGACGGGUGAGGAAUACAUCGGAAUCUACUUUUUCGUGGGGGAUAACGUAGGGAAACUUACGCUAAUACCGCAUACGACCUACGGGUGAAAGCAGGGGAUCUUCGGACCUUGCGCGAUUGAAUGAGCCGAUGUCGGAUUAGCUAGUUGGCGGGGUAAAGGCCCACCAAGGCGACGCUCCGUAGCUGGUCUGAGAGGAUGAUCAGCAACACUGGAACUGAGACACGGACCAAACUCCGACGGGAGGCAGCGGUGGGGAAUAUUGGACAAGGGGCGCAAGCCUGAUCCAGCCAUACCGCGUGGGUGAAGAAGGCCUUCGGGUUGUAAAGCCCUUUUGUUGGGAAAGAAAAGCGGCAGGUUAAUACCCCGCUGUUCGGACGGUACCCAAAGAAUAAGCACCGGCUAACUUCGU